GGAAUGUAAAACAUAUUUCUGCUCUUUUUCAAGAGCUUUACUCUUUCCUUAAUUAUCAUUUCUUGUAAGCUGAUUCUUUUUUCGGAUCUUCCAUUUGCAGGUGUCUCUGUGAGAUUGCAAAGCAGAUUGGUUUUGUUGAGGAUAAAGUUUUAGCCCAGUUCAAAAUUAAGUCUCAAGUUUUUAUCUACAAGCAUGUGCGGGAACGGUUUUUAUUCCGCACUUAUAAGUCUACGAAAGUGAAAUCAAAGCUGAGCGGUGAGAUGCGAGUAGUACCAUUUCCUCAUCUUGUAAGCACCGUCUAUGAAAAAUUUGGAACGGACGAAGUUCACAUGUUGACUCAAGGUACUUUUGAUGUUGUUAUGGAUGCCUGCAUUGAAUAUUUCGAUGGCAAGACUGUCCAUCCGCUCACCAAAGUUGAACGAAAAUCAUUGGAAUCUUUUACAAACAUGCCGUUGCAACUGGGUAUUGCACUGUGUUUCUUUCCGUGCUUUAUCGGCGCCGAUCCCAAAAGAAUUCACUCAAGUUUAUCUGGAGAUUCCAUGCAUCGCCCAGAACCUCUAUGAACAGCCAUAUCACUACGUGUCCUCCUUCAACAACUGCAGCCUCAUUGAACAGUAUUGUUCCUCCGAUAACAUAAAUGAAGGAACAAAAAGACUGAAAGCAGUUCAUCCAAGUGACGCAAAAAGAUGUUUUCAGCAAAACUGUAAUCAGAUUUUUCUUGGGAUGGUGUCAAUGCAGUAUCAAGCUUGAUUGAUGUUGUAAGUAAUGAUUGAAGUCAUGAAUAAUCUUUACCAAACUUCAAAUGUCAACCUGCCUUUCAAAUAUGAAAGCUACAUACUUUUAAGC
This 846-nucleotide long non-coding RNA is filed under the name Bemisia tabaci. RNAcentral's name for it is "lncRNA ENSSSA3NGG014947". The record is from RNAcentral. Lineage: Eukaryota; Metazoa; Arthropoda; Insecta; Hemiptera; Aleyrodidae.